CAGUAGUCACGAGUUUGAUCCUGGCUCAGAACGAACGCUGGCGGCAUGCCUAACACAUGCAAGUCGAACGAGACCUUCGGGUCUAGUGGCGCACGGGUGCGUAACGCGUGGGAACCUGCCUUUAGGUUCGGAAUAACUCAGAGAAAUUUGAGCUAAUACCGGAUAAUGUCUUCGGACCAAAGAUUUAUCGCCUUUAGAUGGGCCCGCGUUGGAUUAGCUAGUUGGUGGGGUAAAGGCCUACCAAGGCGACGAUCCAUAGCUGGUCUGAGAGGAUGAUCAGCCACACUGGGACUGAGACACGGCCCAGACUCCUACGGGAGGCAGCAGUGGGGAAUAUUGGACAAUGGGCGAAAGCCUGAUCCAGCAAUGCCGCGUGAGUGAUGAAGGCCUUAGGGUUGUAAAGCUCUUUUACCCGAGAUGAUAAUGACAGUAUCGGGAGAAUAAGCUCCGGCUAACUCCGUG
Molecule: ribosomal RNA, 462 nt
Filed under: uncultured bacterium
Lineage: Bacteria
Description: bacterial SSU rRNA
Rfam family: Bacterial small subunit ribosomal RNA
Source: RNAcentral